UCUUUUUUCUAAUGUAAAAUCAAAAUAAGGAGUGUCGGGCUACUCCUCCAGUGGCUGCUUAAAGCAACAAGAUCUCUUUCAGGAUUAGCUCCCCGGCCGGCGAGUGCGGAAGUUUGGAUUAGCCAACGGGAACCUCGCUCGGUGCUUGAGACCUGCCUAGUUGGAAGAGGAAGCCGGGUGGGACCCUCCCAAACCGAAAAAGGAGUCCCGAUUUCGGCUGACGGGGUCAGGCCACUGAAGGAAGUAGAAUGGCUUCCUCUCCCCUCUCCUCCGCCCCCCCGCCUUUUUUUUUUUUUUUUUUUUUAACAUGGGAGGGAAGAAAUUAUCCUUUAGCAAAAGACAAUUUCAAUAAUCUGCCGGGGGUGGGCCGGAGCCUGACUAAUAGAGCUGAGACUUUGGAGACACAGAUCAUUAAAAGAUCACAGCUUUAGACCGAGGAGAUCUUGGAAAUCCUCGAGCCCAAUCCCCUUGUUUUACAAAAAGCAAUCUGUCUGAGAAAAAAAAAAGGUAAAAAGCAGACGCAUUAAGAGCUCCCAAUCCCACAAAGAAAUACAUACAAAUAAAGUCCACAUAGGAUCAACUCGAAAUGUUCAACAGGAAUACUCUGGAAUUAAGAGGGACUGGGAGGUUUAGGUGAGACUUGGAGGCAGAGAGGGAUAGAGAGCGUUCCAGGCCCGUCCUACAGUUGUGAAAGAUGCCGGGAGCAUCCAGUUUGCCCAACCGCAAGGAGGCCAGGGGCUCUGGAUCAAAGGUAAAGUGACUUGGCCGAUGCCAUUCUGGAGUAAGGAUUGAGAAAUCCUAUAUGCUUCACUCCCACUACCCUUCCUUCUCUAGUCUGUCUUCUUUUCUGACCAACCAUGGAUAUUUAGUCCCUCCUAUUUUUCUCAUCUGUAAUUUGAAUCCCAUAAUAGAAUGGAAAGCUGCUUGCUAUAAGAAUUCCCCCCCCCCCUUUGUAUUUGUAUCCCUGGUUUACCAUAGGUGCAUAAUAAUGGCUUAUUGAUGAAUUUAUUCUACAAUUUGAAUCAUUUGACCUGUGGCUUUGCCGAUUAUAAAUUUUGAAUGUGAUUGUAAGGAGUCUAAUUGACCACCCCCCCUCCCAGACACACACUUAAAAUUGAAAAGAAUGCUAAGCAUCUUACUUUAAAUUCAUGAACCAAUGUUUACCCAAAAAAAGCAAGGAAAGUCCAUCAACAAAUAAAAAUUAUGAAGCACUAUGUGCUAGGCAUUGGGGAUACUACGACAGAAAUGAAAGAGCCCCUGGCCCUGGAGCUCUGGGGUGGAAGGGAGGAAAUAUAUAUAGUAUAUAUCAUAUAUAUAUGAGUGCAUUGAGGACAGGGCUGGAACCAGCUACGUUUAUACUUCAAAAAUCCUGACUAUAAAUCAGAACUUGACUUGCUAUUGUGUUGAUUGUCUGGGCACGUGUUAAUAAUGCAAAUUAAACGUAAAAUAAAUACGUAUAUAAACGCUGUAAUCAAUCAAUAAACAUCUAUUAAGUGCUUACUAAGCACUUACUAAGUUAAACACGCAGGAGACAGAAAGAGGCAAAAGACAGUUCCUUCCAGAAGGAAUUUACCAACUAGUGGGACAAGAAAUAUAUAAAUAAAUAUUUACACAUAAACUAUAGGCAGGAGAAAGAGGAAAUAAUGAAUACAGGGAAGACACUAGAGUUGUUUAUCCUGCCUGUAGUUUAUGUGUAUAUAUUUGGUUAUAUAUUUCUUCCUCUACCUUCUCUAGGAAAUAAUGAAUACAAGAAGUAGAAAAAGGUUUCCUGGAGAAGGUGGAAUUUGAGUUGGGGCUUGAGGGAAAGUCAGCGGGCAGAGUUGUGGAGAGAGAGCAUUGCAGGUCAAGAGAACAGCCAAAGAAAAUGCCCAGAGCCAAGAGAUGGGAGGGUGUUGUUUGAGGGAACAGCCCGAAGGCCAGUAUCCCUGGAUCAAAGAGAACCUGGUAGGGACUGUGAUAUAAGAAAACUGGAAAGGUAAAGGAGGGGUAGGUUAUAAAAGGCUUUGACUGCCAAAAAGAGGGCUUGUAUUUGAUCCUGGAGGCAAUAGGGAGCCACUGGAGUCUAUUGAGUAGGAGUGACAUGUUCAGACCUGCAUUUUAGGAAAAUCUCUUUAGUGGCUUAAUGGAGAAUGGAUUAGAAAGGGGAGAGUCCUGAGGCAGAUACAUCUACUGGCAGUCUAUUGCAGUAGUAGGUCUGAAGUGAUGGGGACUCGCCCAGAAAGGUAGCCAUGGCAGACUUCUGUUCAGAAGAUGUUGCAAAGGGGAAAUUAACUGGUCUUGACCACAGCUUUGGAUACAGAGGACAGGAGAGAUGUAGUGAGGACUCCAGGAUGUCUAGGGUGUGAGCCUGAGGGAGUGGGAGGAUGGGGGUGUUCUCUACAGUAAUAAGGAAGGUAGAGGAAGGGAAGGAGGGUUUAGGAGAAAAGGAUGAGUUCUGUUUUAGACAUGUUACGUUUAAGAUGCCUAUUGGACAUCCAGUUCAAGAUGUCAGAAAAGUAGAUGGAGAUGCCAUAUUUGAGAUCAGCAGAGAGCUUGGGACAGGAAAGGUAGAUGUUGAGAAUCAGCAUCCUAGAGAUAGUAAUUAAAUCCACUAGAGCUGAUGAAAUCACCAAGUGAAACGGUAUAGAGGCGGAAGAAAAUGGGGCUGAGAACUGAAACCCCAAGGAACACCUGUGGUUAUGGGGCAUGAUCUGCUGAGGGAUCCAGCAAAGGAGACUAAGAAGGAGCAGUCAGACAGGAAAAUCAGGAGAGAGAGGCGUCCCCAAAACCUAAGAGAGAAGAGAGUAUCAAGAAAGUGAUUAGCAAUGUACAAGACUAUAAAUAUGAAGGAGAAUGAAGAUUGGGAAAGGAUUUGGCAACUAAGAGAUCACCCAUCAUUUUGGAGAACAGUUUUGAUGGACUUAUAAGGGAGGAUAAGGCCGGAUUGUAAAGGUUUAAGAAGAGAAAAUCGAAACAGCUAUUGAAGAUGACUUUCCAAGUAGUUUUAACUAUAAUAAGUAGAAAAGAAGUAGGAUGAUGGUAGAAGGAUCAAGUAAGAGGUUGGAUUUUUGGAUUUAUUUUUUUCAGGAAGGAGAGACAGGGGCAUGUUUGUAGGCAGUGAGGAAUAAGCCAGUAGACAGGGAAAGAUUGAAGUAACUGGGAUGACAGAUGGGGCAGUCUAUUGGAGGAGAUGGGUUGGAAUGGAAAUACGUGCAGAGGUAGAAGGGGUUAGCCUUGGGAAGCAGGAAAAGUCACCUGAUCCUGUGAGACUGGAGUAGAAGAGGAAACAGUUACAGAAGGCAUCCAAGCGAUAGGAGAUGAAGAAGGGAGAAGAGGGAACUCACAGUAAUACAUUCACCAGUACCUCCACCUUGAUACUGCUCUAUAAACAUUUCUUAAACCCAGAAGGAGUGCAGUAUCAGGCUCAAGGAAGUCUGGAAGCUAAUAAAGAUGAUGAUGAUAAUCAUAAUAACUGACAUUUAUAUAACACUUUAAGGUUUGCAAAGCUCUUGAUAUUUGUGAUUUUAUUUAAGAUCUUAACACUCCUGGUGAUAUUCAAAAUAUUAAAGGAAAUUGAAGGAAAUCAGGAAGGACUUCAGGUAGAUAAAGUGGGUUCCCUUGAAGGUUAGCUUUGAAAGAAAUCAGACAUUCUAAGAAGCAGCUGUUAGGAGGAAGUGAAUUCCAGGCAUCGGAGGCAACCAAUUCAAAGUCAGAAAGACAGGAAAUGGAGUGUCAUGCAAGAAGAACAGCUAGAAUACCAAUUUGUUUAAAACAAAGUAUAUGCUAAGGGGAAUAAUGUAAUAAAAGCUGGAGAAGAGGUAGCUUGGGACCACAUUGUGAAAGACUGAAUGCAAAAUGAAAGACUUUGUUUGAUCUCAAAAUAGUAAGGAGUUUAAGUAGAAAAUAGCGAGCUCUGUACUUCAGGAAAAUCUUUUUGGCUGCUGCCUGGAGGAUAGGAAUGAAGUGGAGAUACUUGAGGCGGGGAGGCUAAUUAAAGGAUUGUUGUAAUAGCCCCAGGGAGAGGGGAUGAGAAGGGUCACCCCAUCCUUGGAGACUAAAGUGAAAGAGUGGGAGAGGAUGUGAGUGAGACCUGAGAGAUGGGGAGAAGAGGGAGCUCCUGGUUAAUGGCCUCGAUUUUUUUCCAGGAAGGAUGAGGUAAGAUCUACAGCAGAGCCAGUGGGAAAAGGGAGUAGCAAAGGAGACUUGAGGAGAGAAGGAAAAGUUUGAAAUCCCUGCUUUGGUGAAUGGGAAGGGGAAAAAAAAAAAGAACCAGGUUUACUUUCAUGGAGGAAAGAUCCAGUUGAGCUUCUCCAGCAUAAUCUGUGGUGAGCUAGUCAGCACAAUUUCCUCCGCAGAUGGUGGGAAUGAUCUCAGUUUGGGG
Molecule: long non-coding RNA, 4360 nt
Organism: Antechinus flavipes (yellow-footed antechinus)
Lineage: Eukaryota; Metazoa; Chordata; Mammalia; Dasyuromorphia; Dasyuridae
Exons: 2
Source: RefSeq, a predicted model, not a curated record